RNAcentral lists this ribosomal RNA (841 nucleotides) under Nakazawaea wyomingensis. Its description in RNAcentral is "partial large subunit ribosomal RNA". It matches the Rfam family "Eukaryotic large subunit ribosomal RNA", at positions 52 to 910 of the family's 3401-position model. The record is from RNAcentral. Lineage: Eukaryota; Fungi; Ascomycota; Pichiomycetes; Alaninales; Pachysolenaceae.
GGAGGAAAAGAAACCAACAGGGAUUGCCUUAGUAACGGCGAGUGAAGCGGCAAAAGCUCAAAUUUGAAAUCUAGCACUUUCAGUGUUCGAGUUGUAAUUUGAAGAAGGUAUCUUUGGAGUUGGCCCCCGUCUAUGUUCCUUGGAACAGGACGUCACAGAGGGUGAGAAUCCCGUGCGAUGGGGAGUCCAAUUCUUUGUAAAGUUCCUUCGAAGAGUCGAGUUGUUUGGGAAUGCAGCUCUAAGUGGGUGGUAAAUUCCAUCUAAAGCUAAAUAUUGGCGAGAGACCGAUAGCGAACAAGUACAGUGAUGGAAAGAUGAAAAGAACUUUGAAAAGAGAGUGAAAAAGUACGUGAAAUUGUUGAAAGGGAAGGGCUUUUGAUCAGACUUGGUGUUUAGUACUCUCUACUCCUUGUGGGUGGGGCUCUUGCUUCAUACUGGGCCAGCAUCGGUUUGGGUGGUAGGAUAAUGACAUUGGAACGUGGCUCCAUUCGUGGAGUGUUAUAGCCCUCGCUGAUACUACCUAUCUAGACCGAGGACUGCGUCUUUUGACUAGGAUGCUGGCGUAAUGAUUAAAAGCCGCCCGUCUUGAAACACGGACCAAGGAGUCUAACGUCUAUGCGAGUGUUUGGGCGUAAAACCCGUACGCGUAACGAAAGCGAAUGUAGGUGAGGGCCCUUUUUUGGGUGCAUCAUCGGCCGAUCCUGAUGUUUUCAGAUGGAUUUGAGUAAGAGCAUAGCUGUUGGGACCCGAAAGAUGCUGAACUACGCCUGAAUAGGGCGAAGCCAGAGGAAACUCUGGUGGAGGCUCGUAGCGGUUCUGACGUGCAAAUCGAUCGUCGAAU